GACGAACGCUGGCGGCGUGCUUAACACAUGCAAGUCGAACGGAAAGGCCCUGCUUGCAGGGUACUCGAGUGGCGAACGGGUGAGUAACACGUGGGUGAUCUGCCCUGCACUUCGGGAUAAGCCUGGGAAACUGGGUCUAAUACCGGAUAGGAGCCAUUUUUAGUGUGAUGGUUGGAAAGUUUUUUCGGUGUAGGAUGAGCUCGCGGCCUAUCAGCUUGUUGGUGGGGUAAUGGCCUACCAAGGCGGCGACGGGUAGCCGGCCUGAGAGGGUGGACGGCCACAUUGGGACUGAGAUACGGCCCAGACUCCUACGGGAGGCAGCAGUGGGGAAUAUUGCACAAUGGGCGCAAGCCUGAUGCAGCGACGCCGCGUGGGGGAUGGCGGCCUUCGGGUUGUAAACUCCUUUCGCUAGGGACGAAGCUUUUGUGACGGUACCUAGAGAAGAAGCACCGGCUAACUACGUG
This 464-nucleotide ribosomal RNA is filed under the name uncultured bacterium. RNAcentral's name for it is "partial 16S ribosomal RNA". It matches the Rfam family "Bacterial small subunit ribosomal RNA", at positions 28 to 507 of the family's 1533-position model. The record is from RNAcentral.